This 94-nucleotide ribosomal RNA is filed under the name Prevotellamassilia sp. Lineage: Bacteria; Pseudomonadati; Bacteroidota; Bacteroidia; Bacteroidales; Prevotellaceae. RNAcentral also lists the same sequence under 1 other name. The record is from RNAcentral.
GGGGCACACCUCUUCCCAUUCCGAACAGAGCAGUUAAGCCCGUGCGCGCCGAUGGUACUGCAUGAGAGUGUGGGAGAGUAGGUCGCCGCCAGCU